GAUAAAGUGGCUGAGAUUUAAGCGAUAAAUUGUAAAUUUAUUAACGAAAUUAUUUCCUUUAUC
RNAcentral lists this transfer RNA (63 nucleotides) under Serica sp. NS-2020. Its description in RNAcentral is "tRNA-Tyr". It matches the Rfam family "tRNA". Rfam says of the family: Transfer RNA (tRNA) molecules are approximately 80 nucleotides in length. Lineage: Eukaryota; Metazoa; Arthropoda; Insecta; Coleoptera; Scarabaeidae. The record is from RNAcentral.